Molecule: long non-coding RNA, 855 nt
Organism: Homo sapiens (human)
Lineage: Eukaryota; Metazoa; Chordata; Mammalia; Primates; Hominidae
Gene: TTN-AS1
Product: TTN antisense RNA 1
Source: Ensembl
GGAGCGCCUCUGACUGACUUCCCCCAUGUGUCCGUGUGGCCACACCGUGCUACUUUCAGAGGCAGUGGGCUUUUCGCUAAGGGAUAAAAAGAAGUAAAACCUUGCCUUUAGCGCAGCUCUCCUUCACUGGGCAGAUUGCUCUCCCUCCCCACUCUCCCAGGCCCAAAUUGGAUCUCAGCGCCUGGGAGCUCCAACUUUAGCAAGUGCGAAAUCCUGUCUUCGGUUUUGGAAUUUUCAUCCGCACAGACUAUAUCAGCCACGGAUAGGAUAUGUGAGAAUACCAGCAUGUCAAGGCUGGGAAUCAUCCUUAGGCAUCACCUAGCCAGUCCUGCCUCUCAUUUUAAGAAUCAGAGGUGGGGAGAGUGGUGGAAGGGCCUGUGGACUUACGGAUGCUGCUGCGACACUCUAUGACCUCAGACUGCAAGUAAGAGCCAAUCCCGAAGCGGUUUGUUGCAGCCACACGGAACACAUACUCAUUUCCUUCGUUUAGAACCAGCAAAGAACCAGGAAGCAGCAGGAGGUGGACGGCCAGCAAUAGGUAUCACCAGCUCUACUGGUCUGCCAGCUGGGACAUGGAUGGUCUUCUGAGGCAUUGUAGAAAGAUCGAUUGUUGGCAACACUAUGGGAAAGAAAUCAGGCAUUUAUUCUUAAGCAUUAUUUUUAUGCUUUGCAGGCCUCGAGAACAUAUCCAGUGAGUCGGCUACCACCAUCGUAGAGUGGUUUUUCCCAGGCAAGGGUAACAGUGGAUUUGGUGACAUCGACCACUUCUAGCUUUGCAGGCACCAAAGGCACUUCUGAGACCAGUACUGCAUCAGAUGUUUCACAAGGUUCUCCAAUGCCAUAAAUAUUUUCUGG